RNAcentral lists this ribosomal RNA (467 nucleotides) under uncultured bacterium. RNAcentral's name for it is "partial 16S ribosomal RNA". It matches the Rfam family "Bacterial small subunit ribosomal RNA", at positions 28 to 506 of the family's 1533-position model. The record is from RNAcentral.
GACGAACGCUGGCGGCGUGCUUAACACAUGCAAGUCGAACGGAAAGGCCCUGCUUUUGUGGGGUGCUCGAGUGGCGAACGGGUGAGUAACACGUGAGUAACCUGCCCUUGACUUUGGGAUAACUUCAGGAAACUGGGGCUAAUACCGGAUAGGAGCUCCUGCUGCAUGGUGGGGGUUGGAAAGUUUCGGCGGUUGGGGAUGGACUCGCGGCUUAUCAGCUUGUUGGUGGGGUAGUGGCUUACCAAGGCUUUGACGGGUAGCCGGCCUGAGAGGGUGACCGGCCACAUUGGGACUGAGAUACGGCCCAGACUCCUACGGGAGGCAGCAGUGGGGAAUAUUGCACAAUGGGCGGAAGCCUGAUGCAGCAACGCCGCGUGCGGGAUGACGGCCUUCGGGUUGUAAACCGCUUUCGCCUGUGACGAAGCGUGAGUGACGGUAAUGGGGAAAGAAGCACCGGCGAACUACGG